CUACGGGAUGCUGCAGUGGGGAAUAUUGCACAAUGGGCGCAAGCCUGAUGCAGCCAUGCCGCGUGUAUGAAGAAGGCCUUCGGGUUGUAAAGUACUUUCAGCGGGGAGGAAGGGAGUAAAGUUAAUACCUUUGCUCAUUGACGUUACCCGCAGAAGAAGCACCGGCUAACUCCGUGCCAGCAGCCGCGGUAAUACGGAGGGUGCAAGGGUAAUCGGAAUUACUGGGCGUAAAGCGCACGCAGGCGGUUUGUUAAGUCAGAUGUGAAAUCCCCGGGCUCAACCUGGGAACUGCAUCUGAUACUGGCAAGCUUGAGUCUCGUAGAGGGGGGUAGAAUUCCAGGUGUAGCGGUGAAAUGCGUAGAGAUCUGGAGGAAUACCGGUGGCGAAGGCGGCCCCCUGGACGAAGACUGACGCUCAGGUGCGAAAGCGUGGGGAGCAAACAGGAUUAGAUACCCCCGUAGUC
Molecule: ribosomal RNA, 463 nt
Filed under: uncultured bacterium
Lineage: Bacteria
Description: partial 16S ribosomal RNA
Rfam family: Bacterial small subunit ribosomal RNA
Source: RNAcentral